GGGGGAUAUUGCACAAUGGAGGAAACUCUGAUGCAGCAACGCCGCGUGAGGGAAGAAGGUCUUCGGAUUGUAAACCUUUGUCCUUGGUGGCGAAACAAAUGACGGUAGCCAAGGAGGAAGCUCCGGCUAACUACGUGCCAGCAGCCGCGGUAAUACGUAGGGAGCAAGCGUUGUCCGGAUUUACUGGGUGUAAAGGGUGCGUAGGCGGCUCUGCAAGUCAGGCGUGAAAACUAUGGGCUUAACCCAUAGACUGCGUUUGAAACUGUGGGGCUUGAGUGAAGUAGAGGUAGGCGGAAUUCCCGGUGUAGCGGUGAAAUGCGUAGAGAUCGGGAGGAACACCAGUGGCGAAGGCGGCCUACUGGGCUUUAACUGACGCUGAAGCACGAAAGCAUGGGUAGCAAAC
RNAcentral lists this ribosomal RNA (403 nucleotides) under uncultured bacterium. Its description in RNAcentral is "bacterial SSU rRNA". It matches the Rfam family "Bacterial small subunit ribosomal RNA", at positions 356 to 773 of the family's 1533-position model. The record is from RNAcentral.